GGGUCCCUUCCAACUCUACAGUCUAUGAAUCUAUGAAUCCAAACACCCCAGCUGAGUUAAACCAGAACCUUCCCCUUGGUCCCCUUUUAUGAAAUAAGCUCCAUCUCACCCCCAGAACCAAUGCCCCCUGCUCUCUGAUCAUGUUCAGAGCUAGCUUUAUAGCUCAUUCCUAGCUUCAUAGCUCAGGCUCCUCUAUAACAUGUGCUAUGACCAUGAAGGUCAAGACCCUCAGUUCUUCAUGCAUGAUAUGCGACCCCUCCUUGAAGUAACGGCCAGGCACAGGCAUUUGUUUUUAUCCAUUGCAUUCUCUCUCCAUUUCUGGUUGCUCAGCUCCCUUCUGACAAGUGCAAGAAAUAUGUGCGCUCCUAGGUCCUUGCAAGCCAGGCAUUAGUCAUGCUGUGCGUUUCAAGGACAUUAGUCUGCUAGUUUCUCAGCUUUAACAAAAUACACAUUUUGCCAGGAGGGCUUUGUCUGUGUUUACAGGUUACUUGUAAAAGUCAAACUGCAUCCUUUUGCUGAAGAAGCAUGGCAGCCCGUCUAUGGGAAGAAGAACAGUGGCAAAAAAACCAGAACCAGUUAGAUGAGCCCUUCAAUCUUUUUCCUUCUGAUAAAAUGGCUUCUGAGAUGGCACUCCAGUUGGAAAGAAGAUGUUCUUGGGAGCACCUUAGGAGAAUUCAAGUCUCUUACUGCUGAACCACUGCAGGAAUGCUGCUGAAUGACAUAUUGGAAACUCAAAGAACAAUCUGAGUAGUUGAAGCUAUUCCCUCAGGAUGGUGCCUCACAGACAAACAUCCCAAAAGGAUUGUUUUUGCCUUGAGAAACAGUUUGCAAGAGAAAUGAUGCUUCUUUAAUGGACUGUGUAAAGGAAGUCGGUAUAUCCAAACAUGUCUUGUGCUCAAUCCUGAGAGAUGCUGAGCAUCUACAGCUCCCAUUAGAGCAGUGGGAGCAGAGGCAACCCUGCCCCUCUCUGGAUCAGGCCCCAGACUUUAGAACAAAUAUUCUUCUAUUUGUUUUUGAAGUGGCCUGAUGGUUUUCUGUCAUCUUCUAAUGGGCUGUUGUUUUACUCCUGUGCAUGUCCAUAACAUUGCAAAUCUGACACUCACGUGCUGCUGUGCAAGCAGAGGUUCAAAAAUAUCCAUGGAAAAGGGAACUAUUUCCUUCUCCAUUUUACAGAGGAGUCAACUGAGGCAUACCAAUAUUUGCCAAACUAGUUUCCCAUCUUAGUGAUACUAAUAAUUGAUUCCCUUUGUAAAGUACCUUGAAAUCUACUGAUCAAAAUGUGGAGAGCAAGGCAUUAUUUACUACAUGAUUUUUAUAAUAAGCAUCCUGGAGAAGGGGUCUGAGGAUCUAUAAAGCACAAGAGUCUUUAUCUGCAGGUCUGGUUGGAAUCCAAACACAAGGCUGUUGCAAAGCAAAAGUUUCCAUCUUAUGGCUAUUUGC
Molecule: long non-coding RNA, 1440 nt
Organism: Gavialis gangeticus (Gharial)
Lineage: Eukaryota; Metazoa; Chordata; Crocodylia; Gavialidae
Exons: 3
Source: RefSeq, a predicted model, not a curated record